Neocallimastix californiae is the source of this 57-nucleotide transfer RNA. It matches the Rfam family "tRNA". From Rfam's summary of the family: Transfer RNA (tRNA) molecules are approximately 80 nucleotides in length. Their secondary structure includes four short double-helical elements and three loops (D, anti-codon, and T loops). Lineage: Eukaryota; Fungi; Neocallimastigomycota; Neocallimastigomycetes; Neocallimastigales; Neocallimastigaceae. The record is from Rfam.
GCUCGCGUAGCCUAAUCGGAUAGGUGAAGAUUGCGGGUUCAAGUCCCGCCGUGAGUG